This 601-nucleotide ribosomal RNA is filed under the name uncultured bacterium. RNAcentral's name for it is "bacterial SSU rRNA". It matches the Rfam family "Bacterial small subunit ribosomal RNA", at positions 730 to 1335 of the family's 1533-position model. The record is from RNAcentral.
CGCAGUCUUACUGACGUUCAUGCUCGAAGGUGCGGGUAUCGAACAGGAUUAGAUACCCUGGUAGUCCGCACGGUAAACGAUGGAUGCCCGCUGUUGGCGACACACUGUCAGCGGCCAAGCGAAAGCAUUAAGCAUCCCACCUGGGGAGUACGCCGGCAACGGUGAAACUCAAAGGAAUUGACGGGGGCCCGCACAAGCGGAGGAACAUGUGGUUUAAUUCGAUGAUACGCGAGGAACCUUACCCGGGCUUGAACUGCAGGAGAACGAUUCAGAGAUGAUGAGGUCCUUCGGGACUCCUGUGGAGGUGCUGCAUGGUUGUCGUCAGCUCGUGCCGUGAGGUGUCGGCUUAAGUGCCAUAACGAGCGCAACCCCUCUCUUCAGUUGCCAUCAGGUUUUGCUGGGCACUCUGGAGACACUGCCACCGCAAGGUGUGAGGAAGGUGGGGACGACGUCAAAUCAGCACGGCCCUUACGUCCGGGGCUACACACGUGUUACAAUGGGUGGUACAGAGAGUAAGUCCCCAGCAAUGUGGAUUCAAUCAUGAAAGCCAUCCUCAGUUCGGAUUGGGGUCUGCAACCCGACCCCAUGAAGCUGGAUUCGC